UACAGAGGUCUCAAGCGUUGUUCGGAUUCAUUGGGCGUAAAGGGUGCGUAGGCGGCGCGGUAAGUCGGAUGUGAAAUCUCGGAGCUUAACUCCGAAACUGCAUUCGAUACUGCCGUGCUUGAGGACUGGAGAGGAGACUGGAAUUUACGGUGUAGCGGUGAAAUGCGUAGAUAUCGUAAGGAAGACCAGUGGCGAAGGCGGGUCUCUGGACAGUUCCUGACGCUGAGGCACGAAGGCCGGGGGAGCAAACGGG
This 253-nucleotide ribosomal RNA is filed under the name uncultured bacterium. RNAcentral's name for it is "partial 16S ribosomal RNA". It matches the Rfam family "Bacterial small subunit ribosomal RNA", at positions 524 to 776 of the family's 1533-position model. The record is from RNAcentral.